GAUGAACGCUGGCGGCGUGCCUAAUACUUGCAAGUCGAGCGAACAGACGAGGAGCUUGCUCCUCUGACGUUAGCGGCGGACGGGUGAGUAACACGUGGAUAACCUACCUAUAAGACUGGGAUAACUUCGGGAAACCGGAGCUAAUACCGGAUAAUAUAUUGAACCGCAUGGUUCAAUAGUGAAAGACGGUUUUGCUGUCACUUAUAGAUUGAUCCGCGCCGCAUUAGCUAGUUGGUAAGGUAACGGCUUACCAAGGCAACGAUGCGUAGCCGACCUGAGAGGGUGAUCGGCCAAACUGGAACUGAGACACGGUCCAGACGCCUACGGGAGGCAGCAGUAGGGAAUCUUCCGCAAUGGGCGAAAGCCUGACGGAACAACGCCGCGUGGGUGAUGAAGGUCUUCGGAUCGUAAAGCUCUGUUAUUAGGGAAGAACAAAUGUGUAAGUAACUGUGCACGUAUUGACGGUACCUAAUCAGAAAGCCACGGCUAACUACGUG
This 497-nucleotide ribosomal RNA is filed under the name uncultured bacterium. Its description in RNAcentral is "partial 16S ribosomal RNA". It matches the Rfam family "Bacterial small subunit ribosomal RNA", at positions 28 to 507 of the family's 1533-position model. The record is from RNAcentral.